AAAUUGAAGAGUUUGAUCAUGGCUCAGAUUGAACGCUGGCGGCAGGCCUAACACAUGCAAGUCGAGCGGAAACGAGUUAACUGAACCUUCGGGGAACGUUAACGGCGUCGAGCGGCGGACGGGUGAGUAAUGCCUAGGAAAUUGCCCUGAUGUGGGGGAUAACCAUUGGAAACGAUGGCUAAUACCGCAUGAUGCCUACGGGCCAAAGAGGGGGACCUUCGGGCCUCUCGCGUCAGGAUAUGCCUAGGUGGGAUUAGCUAGUUGGUGAGGUAAGGGCUCACCAAGGCGACGAUCCCUAGCUGGUCUGAGAGGAUGAUCAGCCACACUGGAACUGAGACACGGUCCAGACUCCUACGGGAGGCAGCAGUGGGGAAUAUUGCACAAUGGGCGCAAGCCUGAUGCAGCCAUGCCGCGUGUGUGAAGAAGGCCUUCGGGUUGUAAAGCACUUUCAGUCGUGAGGAAGGUAGUGUAGUUAAUAGCUGCAUUAUUUGACGUUAGCGACAGAAGAAGCACCGGCUAACUCCGUGCCAGCAGCCGCGGUAAUACGGAGGGUGCGAGCGUUAAUCGGAAUUACUGGGCGUAAAGCGCAUGCAGGUGGUUUGUUAAGUCAGAUGUGAAAGCCCGGGGCUCAACCUCGGAAUAGCAUUUGAAACUGGCAGACUAGAGUACUGUAGAGGGGGGUAGAAUUUCAGGUGUAGCGGUGAAAUGCGUAGAGAUCUGAAGGAAUACCGGUGGCGAAGGCGGCCCCCUGGACAGAUACUGACACUCAGAUGCGAAAGCGUGGGGAGCAAACAGGAUUAGAUACCCUGGUAGUCCACGCCGUAAACGAUGUCUACUUGGAGGUUGUGGCCUUGAGCCGUGGCUUUCGGAGCUAACGCGUUAAGUAGACCGCCUGGGGAGUACGGUCGCAAGAUUAAAACUCAAAUGAAUUGACGGGGGCCCGCACAAGCGGUGGAGCAUGUGGUUUAAUUCGAUGCAACGCGAAGAACCUUACCUACUCUUGACAUCCAGAGAAUUUUCCAGAGAUGGAUUAGUGCCUUCGGGAACUCUGAGACAGGUGCUGCAUGGCUGUCGUCAGCUCGUGUUGUGAAAUGUUGGGUUAAGUCCCGCAACGAGCGCAACCCUUAUCCUUGUUUGCCAGCGAGUAAUGUCGGGAACUCCAGGGAGACUGCCGGUGAUAAACCGGAGGAAGGUGGGGACGACGUCAAGUCAUCAUGGCCCUUACGAGUAGGGCUACACACGUGCUACAAUGGCGCAUACAGAGGGCGGCCAACUUGCGAAAGUGAGCGAAUCCCAAAAAGUGCGUCGUAGUCCGGAUUGGAGUCUGCAACUCGACUCCAUGAAGUCGGAAUCGCUAGUAAUCGUGGAUCAGAAUGCCACGGUGAAUACGUUCCCGGGCCUUGUACACACCGCCCGUCACACCAUGGGAGUGGGCUGCAAAAGAAGUAGGUAGUUUAACCUUCGGGGGGACGCUUACCACUUUGUGGUUCAUGACUGGGGUGAAGUCGUAACAAGGUAGCGCUAGGGGAACCUGGCGCUGGAUCACCUCCUUAUACGAUGAU
RNAcentral lists this ribosomal RNA (1562 nucleotides) under Vibrio natriegens. RNAcentral describes it as "bacterial SSU rRNA". It matches the Rfam family "Bacterial small subunit ribosomal RNA". The record is from RNAcentral. Lineage: Bacteria; Pseudomonadati; Pseudomonadota; Gammaproteobacteria; Vibrionales; Vibrionaceae.